GAUGAACGCUGACAGAAUGCUUAACACAUGCAAGUCAACUGUGGCGGACGGGUGAGUAACGCGUAAAGAACUUGCCUCACAGUUAGGGACACCAUUUGGAAACGAAUGCUAAUACCUGAUACUGUGAGAGAGGUUUGCGUCCCAUUAGCCAGUUGGAGAGGUAACGGCUCACCAAGGCGAGGAUGGGUAGCCGGCCUGAGAGGGUGAUCGGCCACAAGGGGAAUGAGACACGGCCCUUACUCCUACGGGAGGAAGCAGUGGGGAAUAUUGGACAAUGGACCAAAGUCUGAUCCAGCAAUUCUGUGUGCACGAUGAAGUUUUCGGAAUGUAAAGUGCUUUGAGUUGGGAAGCGGUACCAACAGAAGAAGUGACGGCUAAAUACGUGCCAGCAGCCGCGGUAAUUC
RNAcentral lists this ribosomal RNA (404 nucleotides) under uncultured bacterium. RNAcentral describes it as "partial 16S ribosomal RNA". It matches the Rfam family "Bacterial small subunit ribosomal RNA", at positions 28 to 526 of the family's 1533-position model. The record is from RNAcentral.